This 351-nucleotide unclassified non-coding RNA is filed under the name soil metagenome. Its description in RNAcentral is "partial contains 5.8S ribosomal RNA, internal transcribed spacer 2, and large subunit ribosomal RNA". The stretch from base 1 to 121 matches the Rfam family "5.8S ribosomal RNA", at positions 35 to 154 of the family's 154-position model. The record is from RNAcentral.
GAUGAAGAACGUAGCAAAAUGCGAUAAGUAAUGCGAAUUGCAGAAUUUCCGUGAGUCAUCGAAUCUUUGAACGCACAUUGCGCCCAUUGGUAUUCCGAUGGGCAUGCCUGUUCGAGCGUCAUUAUCCUCCCUCAAACCUCGGGUUUGGUGUUGGACCCAAGUUGUGCGAUGAACAACUGGUCUCAAAGACAAUGACGGCGUCCGUGGGACCCUCGGUGCAACGAGCUUCAAGGAGCACGCGUCGAGUUUUAAAAGGACCUUCCGGGCCGGUCUCCUUUUACUAUUUUACAAGGUUGACCUCGGAUCAGGUAGGAAUACCCGCUGAACUUAAGCAUAUCAAUAAGCGGAGGA